UUAGCAUAUCAAUAAGCGGAGGAAAAGAAACCAACAGGGAUUGCCCCAGUAACGGCGAGUGAAGCGGCAAUAGCUCAAAUUUGAAAUCUGGCCCCUUUGGGGUCCGAGUUGUAAUUUGCAGAGGGCGCUUUGGAGUUGGCUGCAGCCUAAGUUCCUUGGAACAGGUCAUCAUAGAGGGUGAGAAUCCCGUAUGUGGUUGCAUGCCUUCGCCGUGUAAAGCCCCUUCGAUGAGUCGAGUUGUUUGGGAAUGCAGCUCUAAAUGGGAGGUAAAUUUCUUCUAAAGCUAAAUAUUGGCCAGAGACCGAUAGCGCACAAGUAGAGUGAUCGAAAGAUGAAAAGCACUUUGGAAAGAGAGUCAAAAAGCACGUGAAAUUGUUGAAAGGGAAGCGCUUGCAGCCAGACUUGCCCGCAGUUGCUCAUCCGGGGUUCUCCCCGGUGUACUCUUCUGUGGGCAGGCCAGCAUCAGUUCGGGCGGUUGGAGAAAGACCUGUGUCAUGUAGCUGUUCUCGGGCAGUGUUAUAGGGCAGGUGGAAUGCAACCAGCUCGAACUGAGGUCCGCGCAUCUGCUAGGAUGCUGGCGUAAUGGCUGUAAGCGGCCCGUCUUGAAACACGGACCAAGGAGUCUAACAUCUAUGCGAGUGUUUGGGUGUCAAGCCCGAGCGCGUAAUGAAAGUGAACGGAGGUGGGAACCCCUCGGGGUGCACCAUCGACCGAUCCUGAUGUCUUCGGAUGGAUUUGAGUAAGAGCAUAGCUGUUGGGACCCGAAAGAUGGUGAACUAUGCCUGAAUAGGGUGAAGCCAGAGGAAACUCUGGUGGAGGCUCGCAGCGGUUCUGACGUGCAAAUCGAUCGUCAAAUUUGGGCAUAGGGGCGAAAGACUAAUCGAACUAUCUAGUAGCUGGUCCCUGCCGAAGUCCCC
RNAcentral lists this ribosomal RNA (917 nucleotides) under Prosthemium betulinum. Its description in RNAcentral is "partial large subunit ribosomal RNA". It matches the Rfam family "Eukaryotic large subunit ribosomal RNA", at positions 35 to 971 of the family's 3401-position model. The record is from RNAcentral. Lineage: Eukaryota; Fungi; Ascomycota; Dothideomycetes; Pleosporales; Pleomassariaceae.